Molecule: ribosomal RNA, 450 nt
Filed under: uncultured Entrophospora
Lineage: Eukaryota; Fungi; Glomeromycota; Glomeromycetes; Entrophosporales; Entrophosporaceae
Description: SSU rRNA
Rfam family: Eukaryotic small subunit ribosomal RNA
Source: RNAcentral
AGCAGCCGCGGUAAUUCCAGCUCCAAUAGCGUAUAUUAAAGUUGUUGCAGUUAAAAAGCUCGUAGUUGAAUUUCGGGAUUGACACAUCGGUCGUGCCUUAAGGGGUAUGAACUGGUGUAGUCAAUUUCUCACCUUCUGGAGAACCACGAUGCCCUUAAUUGGGUGUCGCGGGGAACCAGGACCUUUACUUUGAAAAAUUAGAGUGUUUAAAGCAGGCAUUUUGCUUGAAUACAUUAGCAUGGAAUAAUAAAAUAGGACGGCAUGAUUCUAUUUUGUUGGUUUCUAGGAUCACCGUAAUGAUUAAUAGGGAUAGUUGGGGGCAUUAGUAUUCAAUUGUCAGAGGUGAAAUUCUUGGAUUUAUUGAAGACUAACUACUGCGAAAGCAUUUGCCAAGGAUGUUUUCAUUAAUCAAGAACGAAAGUUAGGGGAUCGAAGACGAUCAGAUACCGU